UACGAAGGGGGCUAGCGUUGUUCGGAAUUACUGGGCGUAAAGCGCACGUAGGCGGCUUUCUAAGUCGGGGGUGAAAUCCUGGAGCUCAACUCCAGAACUGCCUUCGAUACUGGAGAGCUCGAGUCCGGGAGAGGUGAGUGGAACUGCGAGUGUAGAGGUGAAAUUCGUAGAUAUUCGCAAGAACACCAGUGGCGAAGGCGGCUCACUGGCCCGAUACUGACGCUGAGGCACGAAAGCGUGGGGAGCAAACAGG
RNAcentral lists this ribosomal RNA (253 nucleotides) under uncultured bacterium. RNAcentral describes it as "partial 16S ribosomal RNA". It matches the Rfam family "Bacterial small subunit ribosomal RNA", at positions 524 to 776 of the family's 1533-position model. The record is from RNAcentral.